Molecule: ribosomal RNA, 253 nt
Filed under: uncultured bacterium
Lineage: Bacteria
Description: partial 16S ribosomal RNA
Rfam family: Bacterial small subunit ribosomal RNA
Source: RNAcentral
UACGAAGGGGGCUAGCGUUGUUCGGAAUUACUGGGCGUAAAGCGCGCGCAGGCGGUCUUCCAAGUCAGUGGUGAAAGCCCGGAGCUCAACUCCGGAACUGCCAUUGAAACUGUUGGACUUGAGUACGAGAGAGGUGAGUGGAAUUCCCAGUGUAGAGGUGAAAUUCGUAGAUAUCGGGAGGAACACCUGUGGCGAAAGCGGCUCACUGGACCACAACUGACGCUGAGGCGCGAAAGCCAGGGUAGCGAACGGG